UCCAAGUGGAACGAGGGCGCUC
This 22-nucleotide non-coding RNA is filed under the name Arabidopsis thaliana (thale cress). The record is from RNAcentral. Lineage: Eukaryota; Viridiplantae; Streptophyta; Magnoliopsida; Brassicales; Brassicaceae.